Molecule: ribosomal RNA, 490 nt
Filed under: uncultured bacterium
Lineage: Bacteria
Description: partial 16S ribosomal RNA
Rfam family: Bacterial small subunit ribosomal RNA
Source: RNAcentral
GAUGAACGCUAGCGAUAGGCUUAACACAUGCAAGUCGAGCGGCAGCAUAGUCUUAGCUUGCUAAGACUGAUGGCGACCGGCGCACGGGUGCGUAACGCGUAUGCAACUUGCCUCACGGAGGGGGAUAACCAGUCGAAAUACGGCCUAUUACGCCUUACACUCAAUCUUGAGCAUACAAGGUAUUGGGAAUGAGAUUGGCUGUGAGAUAGGCACGCGUCCUAUUAGCUAGUUGGUGAGGGAACGGCUCACCAAGGCGACGCUGGGUAGGGGAACUGAGAGGCUGCACCCCUACAACGGUACUGAGACACGGACCACACUGCUACGGGAGGGAGGAGAGAGGAAGACAGGGCGAGGAACGAGAGCCUGAACCAGCCAAGUCGCGUGAAGGAGGACUGGGUUAUUGAUUGUAUUCUUCUGGGAUACAGGAGCAGCAGGAGUCACGCGCGCCUCUCUGAAUGUACCGAAUGAAUAAGCACCGGCUAACUCCGUG